Molecule: transfer RNA, 50 nt
Filed under: Angiostrongylus cantonensis (rat lungworm)
Lineage: Eukaryota; Metazoa; Nematoda; Chromadorea; Rhabditida; Metastrongylidae
Description: tRNA-Ser1
Source: RNAcentral
AAUGAGUUGUUUAAGUCUUCUAAACUUAUAUUAGGUGUUCCUGCUCGUUG